This 505-nucleotide ribosomal RNA is filed under the name uncultured bacterium. RNAcentral describes it as "partial 16S ribosomal RNA". It matches the Rfam family "Bacterial small subunit ribosomal RNA", at positions 28 to 507 of the family's 1533-position model. The record is from RNAcentral.
GACGAACGCUGGCGGCGUGCCUAAUACAUGCAAGUAGAACGCACAGUUUAUACCGUAGCUUGCUACACCAUAGACUGUGAGUUGCGAACGGGUGAGUAACGCGUAGGUAACCUGCCUGGUAGCGGGGGAUAACUAUUGGAAACGAUAGCUAAUACCGCAUAAUAUUGAUUAUUGCAUGAUAAUUAAUUGAAAGGUGCAAUUGCACCACUACCAGAUGGACCUGCGUUGUAUUAGCUAGUAGGUGAGGUAACGGCUCACCUAGGCGACGAUACAUAGCCGACCUGAGAGGGUGAGCGGCCACACUGGGACUGAGACACGGCCCAGACUCCUACGGGAGGCAGCAGUAGGGAAUCUUCGGCAAUGGACGAAAGUCUGACCGAGCAACGCCGCGUGAGUGAAGAAGGUUUUCGGAUCGUAAAGCUCUGUUGUAAGAGAAGAACGGGUGUGAGAGUGGAAAGUUCACACUGUGACGGUAGCUUACCAGAAAGGGACGGCUAACUACGUG